This 102-nucleotide Y RNA is filed under the name Propithecus coquereli (Coquerel's sifaka). RNAcentral describes it as "Y RNA (ENSPCOG00000005208.1)". It matches the Rfam family "Y RNA". From Rfam's summary of the family: Y RNAs are components of the Ro ribonucleoprotein particle (Ro RNP), in association with Ro60 and La proteins. The Y RNAs and Ro60 and La proteins are well conserved, but the function of the Ro RNP is not known. Lineage: Eukaryota; Metazoa; Chordata; Mammalia; Primates; Indriidae. The record is from Rfam by way of RNAcentral.
GGGUGGUCCAAGUGCAGUGGUGUUCACAGCUAAUUGAUCGCAACCAGUUAUAGAUUCCUUUGUUCCUUCUCCACUCCCACUGCCUCACUUGACUAGCCUAAA